GUAGGUGGACCUGCGGAAGGAUCAUUAACGAACAAUUAAAGGAUUGUCGCUGGCCAAGUUAAUUCUUUGGCAUCGUGCACGUCUUUUUAAUCCACACACACACACUUGUGAACCUAUUGUAGAUCGAGAGAUCUAUGUUCUUUCAUCACAUCUAUUAGCAUGUCUUAGAAUGUAACCAAAUUAUUACAACUUUCAGCAAUGGAUCUCUUGGUUCUCGCAUCGAUGAAGAACGCAGCGAAUUGCGAUAAGUAAUGUGAAUUGCAGAUUUUCAGUGAAUCAUCGAAUCUUUGAACGCACCUUGCGCUCCUUGGUAUUCCGAGGAGCAUGCCUGUUUGAGUGUCAUUUAAUUAUCAAUCUGAAUUGAAUUUGGAUUGGAGUUGGGAAUUGCUGGCUUUGAUUAGUCGGCUGUCCUUAAAAGCAUUAGCGAGAGUUAGUUUAUUUCUACGUGCACGGCCUCUGACGUGAUAACGAUCGUCGUGGGCUGGAAGCGUAUUAAUCAACGAAGCUUGCUUCUAAAAACCUAGUAAAGAGUGAAUUUUCUAUGUGCAUACGGACUUUGGGCAUAGUAUUGGAAGCUCUGAGUGAAAGCUCUAAGUGAAAAAAAAAUACUGUGUACAUGGGCUGGAAGCAUAGUAUUGAAGCUAGUUACACAAAGAAAUCUGACGAGUGGAAUAUUUAAUUCUAAAUGCAAUAAAGCUAAUGUGGGGCUGGAAGGCAUGGGUAGUAGUAGUAUUUGGAAGCUGUCAGUGAAAAUUGACUUUGUUGACGGAAGCUCGAGCGAAAGUGCCAAUUUAAUUAAUGGUGUGGAAGCUCGAAGUGAAUGUUAAUGGACGUCGAUGGAAGCUUGAGUGAAAAAAGAAAUGCUAUUCGUGUGCAUACGGCUUCAUGUAGGCUGGAAGCAUAGUGAAYGUAAUUGAAAGCUUAGUUUAUGAUUUCGAAUUGAAAUUGACCUCAAAUCAGG
This 961-nucleotide ribosomal RNA is filed under the name Turmalinea mesomorpha subsp. sordida. RNAcentral's name for it is "eukaryotic LSU rRNA". The stretch from base 188 to 342 matches the Rfam family "5.8S ribosomal RNA". The record is from RNAcentral. Lineage: Eukaryota; Fungi; Basidiomycota; Agaricomycetes; Boletales; Boletaceae.